GUGGGGAAUAUUGGGCAAUGGGCGAAAGCCUGACCCAGCAACGCCGCGUGAAGGAAGAAGGUCUUCGGAUCGUAAACUUCUAUCCUUGGUGAAGAUAAUGACGGUAGCCGAGAAGGAAGCCCCGGCUAACUACGUGCCAGCAGCCGCGGUAAUACGUAGGGGGCAAGCGUUGUCCGGAAUGAUUGGGCGUAAAGGGCGCGUAGGCGGCCUGGUAAGUCUGGAGUGAAAGUCCUGCUUUUAAGGUGGGAAUUGCUUUGGAUACUGUCGGGCUUGAGUGCAGGAGAGGUAAGUGGAAUUCCCGGUGUAGCGGUGAAAUGCGUAGAGAUCGGGAGGAACACCAGUGGCGAAGGCGACUUACUGGGCCGUAACUGACGUUGAUGCGCGAAAGCGUGGGGAGCGAACAGGAUUAGAUACCCUGGUAGUCC
This 425-nucleotide ribosomal RNA is filed under the name uncultured bacterium. RNAcentral's name for it is "partial 16S ribosomal RNA". It matches the Rfam family "Bacterial small subunit ribosomal RNA", at positions 354 to 796 of the family's 1533-position model. The record is from RNAcentral.